This 449-nucleotide ribosomal RNA is filed under the name uncultured bacterium. RNAcentral describes it as "partial 16S ribosomal RNA". It matches the Rfam family "Bacterial small subunit ribosomal RNA", at positions 30 to 523 of the family's 1533-position model. The record is from RNAcentral.
AUUGAACGCUGGCGGCAUGCCUUACACAUGCAAGUCGAGCGCAUCCUUCGGGGUGAGCGGCAGACGGGUGAGUAACGCGUGGGAACGUACCCUUUCCUACGGAAUAGCUCCGGGAAACUGGAAUUAAUACCGUAUACGCCCUUAGGGGGAAAGAUUUAUCGGGGAAGGAUCGGCCCGCGUUGGAUUAGCUAGUUGGUGGGGUAAAGGCCUACCAAGGCGACGAUCCAUAGCUGGUCUGAGAGGAUGAUCAGCCACAUUGGGACUGAGACACGGCCCAAACUCCUACGGGAGGCAGCAGUGGGGAAUAUUGGACAAUGGGCGCAAGCUUGAUCCAGCCAUGCCGCGUGAGUGAUGAAGGCCUUAGGGUUGUAAAGCUCUUUCAGUAGGGAAGAUAAUGACGGUACCUACAGAAGAAGCCCCGGCUAACUUCGUGCCAGCAGCCGCCGUAA